This 218-nucleotide ribosomal RNA is filed under the name uncultured bacterium. RNAcentral's name for it is "partial 16S ribosomal RNA". It matches the Rfam family "Bacterial small subunit ribosomal RNA", at positions 122 to 334 of the family's 1533-position model. The record is from RNAcentral.
UAAACCUGCCUGGUAGCGGGGGAUAACUAUUGGAAACGAUAGCUAAUACCGCAUAACAGUAGAUAUCGCAUGAUAUUUGCUUGAAAGGUGCAAUUGCACCACUACCAGAUGGACCUGCGUUGUAUUAGCUAGUUGGUGAGGUAACGGCUCACCAAGGCAACGAUACAUAGCCGACCUGAGAGGGUGAUCGGCCACACUGGGACUGAGACACGGCCCAG